Molecule: ribosomal RNA, 1017 nt
Filed under: uncultured organism
Description: bacterial SSU rRNA
Rfam family: Bacterial small subunit ribosomal RNA
Source: RNAcentral
UGAGGAAUAUUGGUCAAUGGACGAGAGUCUGAACCAGCCAAGUAGCGUGAAGGAUGACUGCCCUAUGGGUUGUAAACUUCUUUUAUACGGGAAUAAAGUGAGGCACGUGUGCCUUUUUGUAUGUACCGUAUGAAUAAGGAUCGGCUAACUCCGUGCCAGCAGCCGCGGUAAUACGGAGGAUCCGAGCGUUAUCCGGAUUUAUUGGGUUUAAAGGGAGCGUAGGCGGACGCUUAAGUCAGUUGUGAAAGUUUGCGGCUCAACCGUAAAAUUGCAGUUGAUACUGGGUGUCUUGAGUACAGUAGAGGCAGGCGGAAUUCGUGGUGUAGCGGUGAAAUGCUUAGAUAUCACGAAGAACUCCGAUUGCGAAGGCAGCUUGCUGGACUGUAACUGACGCUGAUGCUCGAAAGUGUGGGUAUCAAACAGGAUUAGAUACCCUGGUAGUCCACACAGUAAACGAUGAAUACUCGCUGUUGGCGAUAUACGGUCAGCGGCCAAGCGAAAGCAUUAAGUAUUCCACCUGGGGAGUACGCCGGCAACGGUGAAACUCAAAGGAAUUGACGGGGGCCCGCACAAGCGGAGGAACAUGUGGUUUAAUUCGAUGAUACGCGAGGAACCUUACCCGGGCUUAAAUUGCAACUGACUGAACCGGAAACGGUUCUUUCUUCGGACAGUUGUGAAGGUGCUGCAUGGUUGUCGUCAGCUCGUGCCGUGAGGUGUCGGCUUAAGUGCCAUAACGAGCGCAACCCUUAUCGAUAGUUACUAGCAGGUCAUGCUGAGGACUCUAUUGAGACUGCCGUCGUAAGAUGUGAGGAAGGUGGGGAUGACGUCAAAUCAGCACGGCCCUUACGUCCGGGGCUACACACGUGUUACAAUGGGGGGUACAGAAGGCAGCUACACGGCGACGUGGUGCUAAUCCCGAAAGCCUCUCUCAGUUCGGAUUGGAGUCUGCAACCCGACUCCAUGAAGCUGGAUUCGCUAGUAAUCGCGCAUCAGCCACGGCGCGGUGAAUACGUUCCC